RNAcentral lists this ribosomal RNA (392 nucleotides) under uncultured bacterium. Its description in RNAcentral is "bacterial SSU rRNA". It matches the Rfam family "Bacterial small subunit ribosomal RNA", at positions 28 to 420 of the family's 1533-position model. The record is from RNAcentral.
GACGAACGCUGGCGGCGUGCUUAACACAUGCAAGUCGAGCGGUAAGGCCCUUUCGGGGGUACGACGAGCGGCGAACGGGUGAGUAACACGUGGGUGACCUGCCCUCAGUUCUGGGAUAAGCCUGGGAAACCGGGUCUAAUACUGGAUAUGACCUCAUGACGCAUGUUGUGGGGUGGAAAGCCUUGUGCGACUGAGGAUGGGCCCGCGGCCUAUCAGCUUGUUGGUGGGGUGAUGGCCUACCAAGGCGACGACGGGUAGCCGGCCUGAGAGGGCGACCGGCCACACUGGGACUGAGACACGGCCCAGACUCCUACGGGAGGCAGCAGUGGGGAAUCUUGCGCAAUGGGCGAAAGCCUGACGCAGCGACGCCGCGUGAGGGAUGACGGCCUGGU